CUCCCGGAUGUUAGCGGCGGACGGGUGAGUAACACGUGGGUAACCUGCCUGUAAGACUGGGAUAACUCCGGGAAACCGGAGCUAAUACCGGAUAGUUCCUUGAACCGCAUGGUUCAAGGAUGAAAGACGGUUUCGGCUGUCACUUACAGAUGGACCCGCGGCGCAUUAGCUAGUUGGUGAGGUAACGGCUCACCAAGGCGACGAUGCGUAGCCGACCUGAGAGGGUGAUCGGCCACACUGGGACUGAGACACGGCCCAGACUCCUACGGGAGGCAGCAGUAGGGAAUCUUCCGCAAUGGACGAAAGUCUGACGGAGCAACGCCGCGUGAGUGAUGAAGGUUUUCGGAUCGUAAAGCUCUGUUGUUAGGGAAGAACAAGUGCAAGAG
RNAcentral lists this ribosomal RNA (386 nucleotides) under Bacillus sp. DB2-9. RNAcentral describes it as "bacterial SSU rRNA". It matches the Rfam family "Bacterial small subunit ribosomal RNA", at positions 82 to 461 of the family's 1533-position model. Lineage: Bacteria; Bacillati; Bacillota; Bacilli; Caryophanales; Bacillaceae. The record is from RNAcentral.